Molecule: long non-coding RNA, 432 nt
Organism: Chlorocebus sabaeus (green monkey)
Lineage: Eukaryota; Metazoa; Chordata; Mammalia; Primates; Cercopithecidae
Source: RefSeq, a predicted model, not a curated record
GCUGCGGGUCACUCACACCUGCCGCUGUGAAAUGCAGACCCGCGGGGCAGGAAUUCCGAGUACCGGCUGGAGCGCGAUCUGAAAUCUGACUCUCUUGAAACAGCACCGCGGAGGAUUUGGAGCCGGAAGCUGCGAGGUCAAGUAACAGAGAACAUGAGCUUCUACCUCCAGAUGUGCCAGGGUGUGACUCUUGGGUACAAGAACAAGGGUUUCGUUUUGUUUUACAAAAUCAAAGUACAAAUCUCAAAUAGGAUAAUAUUUUUAAACCGUUAUUGGGGCAUACUUUGCAUGCAAUAAAUGUAUCUAUUUGAAAUGUACAGCUCAUUGAGUUUUACUCUUUGGCUGUUUUACACACCCACGUAUCCACUGCCACAAUGAAGAUUAAUAACAUUUCCAUAGUACCCUAAAGAACAGCCAUGCGAUAAAAUUCCA